GAUGAACGCUGGCGGCGUGCCUAAUACAUGCAAGUCGAGCGAACAGAUGAGGAGCUUGCUCCUCUGACGUUAGCGGCGGACGGGUGAGUAACACGUGGAUAACCUACCUAUAAGACUGGGAUAACUUCGGGAAACCGGAGCUAAUACCGGAUAAUAUAUUGAACCGCAUGGUUCAAUAGUGAAAGACGGUUUUGCCGUCACUUAUAGAUGGAUCCGCGCCGCAUUAGCUAGUUGGUAAGGUAACGGCUUACCAAGGCAACGAUGCGUAGCCGACCUGAGAGGGUGAUCGGCCACACUGGAACUGAGACACGGUCCAGACUCCUACGGGAGGCAGCAGUAGGGAAUCUUCCGCAAUGGGCGAAAGCCUGACGGAACAACGCCGCGUGAGUGAUGAAGGUCUUCGGAUCGUAAAACUCUGUUAUUAGGGAAGAACAAAUGUGUAAGUAACUAUGCACGUCUUGACGGUACCUAAUCAGAAAGCCACGGCUAACUACGUG
RNAcentral lists this ribosomal RNA (497 nucleotides) under uncultured bacterium. RNAcentral's name for it is "partial 16S ribosomal RNA". It matches the Rfam family "Bacterial small subunit ribosomal RNA", at positions 28 to 507 of the family's 1533-position model. The record is from RNAcentral.